AUACGUAGGGGGCGAGCGUUGUCCGGAAUGAUUGGGCGUAAAGGGCGCGUAGGCGGCCUGUUAAGUCUGGAGUGAAAGUCCUGUUUUCAAGAUGGGAAUUGCUUUGGAUACUGAUGGGCUUGAGUGCAGGAGAGGUUAUCGGAAUUCCCGGUGUAGCGGUGAAAUGCGUAGAGAUUGGGAGGAACACCAGUGGCGAAGGCGACUUACUGGGCCGUAACUGACGCUGAGGCGCGAAAGCGUGGGGAGCGAACAGGAUUAGAUACCCUGGUAGUCCACGCGGUAAACGAUGAAUGCUAGGUGUCGGGUUUCUAUAGAGAUUCGGUGCCGCAGCAAACGCAAUAAGUAUUCCACCUGGGGAGUACGUUCGCAAGAAUGAAACUCAAAGGAAUUGACGGGG
Molecule: ribosomal RNA, 397 nt
Filed under: uncultured bacterium
Lineage: Bacteria
Description: partial 16S ribosomal RNA
Rfam family: Bacterial small subunit ribosomal RNA
Source: RNAcentral